Molecule: small RNA, 563 nt
Filed under: Pongo abelii (Sumatran orangutan)
Lineage: Eukaryota; Metazoa; Chordata; Mammalia; Primates; Hominidae
Description: processed transcript
Source: RNAcentral
CAUGUUUGCGCCACCUACAGCCUGGGAGGGUGAGCGUCAUGGCGGCUUCUUGCUCUCUCCCGGUGACCCUGGACCUGCCCACGCUGCGUGCCAAGUUGCAGGGACUGCUGCAGUUCCUGAGGGAUGCCCUGUCCAUUUCCAAUGCACAUACCGUGGAUUUCUACACAGAAUCCGUGUGGGAGGAGCUGGUCGACUUGCCACCGGAGACAGUGGUGGCUGCGCUGAGGAAGUCAGCGUCGGAGGCGCAGGCCCGGCCCUCAGAGACGCGCCCCCUAGUGGAAGCAGAGGGGGAAGCAGGUAUGACUGAUUUUCCCAAAAUAUUUUGUGAAACUUCUCAGAAGUUGGUGAGUGUGGAAGCCUUUGCUCUGGCUGCGAAAUACUAUUCUGUACAAAACUUGGGAAUAUGUACUCCUUUUGAACAGUUGCUUAUAGCCCUUCGAGGAAAUCAAAACCAGAGAAAUGGUUAGUAUCUGCCAGCAGAAUGACAUUGUGGAAUUCAGACCUCUCUGAUGGAGACCAUGUCCUAAAGUACCCUCAGAAUGUUACCAAGAAGGUGCUACCUU